ACCUUGAUGGCUGCGAGUCUGGUCAGUUCGACCACUUCAAUACGCAGAUCACUUUGCUGAUAAAGUAGAUUCUGCUCAUCGGCAGCACUAGCUUCCAGCUUCACAUGUUCCACCGACGUCAGAGAAUGCUGUCAUGGUGUACAAAAGUCAUUGGUGGAGCUCAUAUGAAAAAUAAUCCAUGUAUUCAAAGCUGCAUUCGCGACUGGCUGAGAACCCUUUCUGUUACACCGCUAUGCAAGUAAUAUGGCAUCAGACAUAUGGUUAAGGACCACACAGAUGAAAGAGGAAACCUGCUGCUUCCACUCCAAAACUCUUUUUAAUUAGCAGCAAUAGAUCUUUUGCAUACACCAUCUCACAGACCAUCUGUACCAGUCAGAACAUUUUAACUUCCAGAAUAAAAAUUAAUGUGAAACAUGUGUGUUCUAAUUUAAAAUAAUUUGGGCACAAAAAAUGUGUCCAUAUUUUCGUUUAAACAAAAAUAUACAUAUUAUAUAUAUAUAUUUAUUCUAUAACUUACCCAUGAUAUCCAUGUCAUAAAUCCAUGUGAUAAUUUAGUGUAUUAACCCGGUUAA
Long non-coding RNA from Gigantopelta aegis, 572 nucleotides. RefSeq lists it as uncharacterized. The transcript has 3 exons. Lineage: Eukaryota; Metazoa; Mollusca; Gastropoda; Neomphalida; Peltospiridae. The record is from RefSeq and is a predicted model, not a curated record.